AGCUAGUUGGUGGGGUAAAGGCCUACCAAGGCGACGAUCAGUAGCGGGUCUGAGAGGAUGAUCCGUCACACUGGAACUGAGACACGGUCCAGACUCCUACGGGAGGCAGCAGUGGGGAAUUUUGGACAAUGGGGGCAACCCUGAUCCAGCCAUUCCGCGUGAGUGAAGAAGGCCUUCGGGUUGUAAAGCUCUUUCAGCCGGAACGAAACGGUAUUCCUUAAUACGGGAUGCUAAUGACGGUACCGGCAGAAGAAGCACCGGCUAACUACGUGCCAGCAGCCGCGGUAAUACGUAGGGUGCGAGCGUUAAUCGGAAUUACUGGGCGUAAAGCGUGCGCAGGCGGAUUGUUAAGCAAGAUGUGAAAUCCCCGGGCUUAACCUGGGAAUGGCAUUUUGAACUGGCAGUCUAGAGUGUGUCAGAGGGGGGUGGAAUUCCACGUGUAGCAGUGAAAUGCGUAGAUAUGUGGAGGAACACCAAUGGCGAAGGCAGCCCCCUGGGAUAACACUGACGCUCAUGUACGAAAGCGUGGGUAGCAAACAGGAUUAGAUACCCUGGUAGUCCACGCCCUAAACGAUGUCAACUGGUUGUUGGGGGAGUGAAAUCCCUUAGUAACGAAGCUAACGCGUGAAGUUGACCGCCUGGGGAGUACGGUCGCAAGAUUAAAACUCAAAGGAAUUGACGGGGACCCGCACAAGCGGUGGAUGAUGUGGAUUAAUUCGAUGCAACGCGAAAAACCUUACCUACCCUUGACAUGUCCAGAAUCCUGCAGAGAUGCGGGAGUGCCCGAAAGGGAAUUGGAACACAGGUGCUGCAUGGCUGUCGUCAGCUCGUGUCGUGAGAUGUUGGGUUAAGUCCCGCAACGAGCGCAACCCUUAUCAUUAGUUGCUACGCAAGGGCACUCUAAUGAGACUGCCGGUGACAAACCGGAGGAAGGUGGGGAUGACGUCAAGUCCUCAUGGCCCUUAUGGGUAGGGCUUCACACGUCAUACAAUGGUCGGUACAGAGGGUUGCCAAGCCGCGAGGUGGAGCCAAUCCCAGAAAGCCGAUCGUAGUCCGGAUUGUUCUCUGCAACUCGAGAGCAUGAAGUCGGAAUCGCUAGUAAUCGCGAUCAGAAUGUCGCGGUGAAUACGUUCCCGGGUCUUGUACACACCGCCCGUCACACCAUGGGAGUGGAAUCUGCCAGAAGUAGGUAGCCUAACCGCAAGGAGGGCGCUUACCACGGUGG
Molecule: ribosomal RNA, 1225 nt
Filed under: metagenome
Description: bacterial SSU rRNA
Rfam family: Bacterial small subunit ribosomal RNA
Source: RNAcentral